ACUCCCUACGGGGAGGCAGCAGUGGGGAAUAUUGCACAAUGGGCGCAAGCCUGAUGCAGCCAUGCCGCGUGUGUGAAGAAAGGCCCUUCGGGUUGUAAAAGCACUUUCAGUCGUGAGGAAGGUAGUGUAGUUAAUAGCUGCAUUAUUUGACGUUAGCGACAGAAGAAGCACCGGCUAACUCCGUGCCAGCAGCCGCGGUAAUACGGAGGGUGCGAGCGUUAAUCGGAAUUACUGGGCGUAAAGCGCAUGCAGGUGGUUUGUUAAGUCAGAUGUGAAAGCCC
Molecule: ribosomal RNA, 281 nt
Filed under: uncultured bacterium
Lineage: Bacteria
Description: partial 16S ribosomal RNA
Rfam family: Bacterial small subunit ribosomal RNA
Source: RNAcentral